AUGGUUAUAAGUGCCUGUUGGGUGAUGUCAACCAGAUGCUUGCCCGUUUGGUUGGAGGAGAGAGAGCAGCUUGGAUGGAGUGUGUCUUUGUGCUGAUGUGAAAAAGGCCCACUCAUUAUGAUUCCAGGCAGGGUUCUGGUCCCAUGGCAACCUGGGUUCAAAACAACUCCUGGAAAGGGGAGAGAGGAGCAGGAAGACACCAGACGGAGACCUCUGGGCCAAACUCUAAACAUCCAUUAGGGCCCUGCGCCCCCCAUAUCCACCCAUCGCUCUACCAGUCCCUGUCUCCGCUUUCAUCUUGCACUUCCCCUUUAUGCACCUUGGAUGAGAGGAGCUGUUGUUGAGCUUCUAUCUGCUGCUGCUGUC
Molecule: long non-coding RNA, 366 nt
Organism: Scophthalmus maximus (turbot)
Lineage: Eukaryota; Metazoa; Chordata; Actinopteri; Pleuronectiformes; Scophthalmidae
Exons: 3
Source: RefSeq, a predicted model, not a curated record